This 550-nucleotide ribosomal RNA is filed under the name Cercomonas gigantica. Its description in RNAcentral is "eukaryotic LSU rRNA". The stretch from base 287 to 550 matches the Rfam family "Eukaryotic large subunit ribosomal RNA", at positions 1 to 257 of the family's 3401-position model. The record is from RNAcentral. Lineage: Eukaryota; Cercozoa; Cercomonadida; Cercomonadidae.
GCCCGGGAGCCUUUUUCUUUGAGUAUCGUUUCUACUCUAUCUCGGCAGCUUGCUGCCGGAAAAUGAGAGUCUUGUUUGAAAGAAUAAGUCUCUUUAAAUGCAGUGAGUUUGAACUCCUAGUAUUAAGAACUACCUUAACUGGUACUCGCCUAUUAUCUUAGGUUUAUUAUUACUAGUGAUAUGGAUAAUUUAUUAUUUUAUAUCAUUGGUGUGAUGAAUCCGAGGUAGUAUGGUCAAGAUACACCUGGUCUUCAGACUUGUUAGAAAAUAACUAAUUUUUUGAAUUAGAUCUCAAAUGAAGUAAGACUACCCGCUGAACUUAAGCAUAUUAUUAAGCGGAGGAAAAGAAACUAACUAGGAUGCCCUCAGUAACGGCGAGUGAAGCGGGCAAAGCUCAACCUGAAAAUCUGGUUUCCAAACGGGAAUCCGAAUUGUGGGCUACAGACGCGUGAUCAGUGUGUGACCCGGGUAUAAGUGUUGUUGGAAAACGCUAUCAUAGAGGGUGAUAAUCCCGUCCGUGACCUGGAGUUCGCCGCGUACGAUCCGUGCU